AUGCGGUUAGCUCAUCAUAUGCCCCAUUUGUACAGCUUCACGCCAGUCCCACCAGUGGUUAAGAGACGACCAAUGCUGAUCCAACAGCGAGGUCGCCGGCGUGUGCGCCGCAGCGGUGGUGGUGUCCGGCUGGGCUUGCUGCUCCGGCUGCGCGUGCGGCUGUCCGGCAUCGUCGGCCUGCUCGUCAGGAGCGUGGAGGAGCUCAGAUGCUGCCCCGCCCGUGGCAAGAUCAGCUGCUCGACGUCGAGAGCGCGCAGGCCGGUGUUGUCCCUUGACGGUAGCUGCCGUCGCCGUCAGGCGCCGGCAGAUAGGAAUCAGAGCUCCUUCUACAACGAGGCCAUAGCAGACUGCUUGGAGUUCAUCAAGAGCAGAUCCACCUAAAUGCCUGCGAAGGAUGAUAAGAUCGUCAGUUUGAAUUAG
This 420-nucleotide ribosomal RNA is filed under the name Triticum aestivum (bread wheat). RNAcentral describes it as "partial small subunit ribosomal RNA". The record is from RNAcentral. Lineage: Eukaryota; Viridiplantae; Streptophyta; Magnoliopsida; Poales; Poaceae.